AACGAACGCUGGCGGCAUGCCUAACACAUGCAAGUCGAACGAGUGCCUUCGGGUGCUAGUGGCGCACGGGUGCGUAACGCGUGGGAAUCUGCCCUUAGGUUCGGAAUAACAGCUGGAAACGGCUGCUAAUACCGGAUGAUAUCGCGAGAUCAAAGAUUUAUGGCCUGAGGAUGAGCCCGCGUUGGAUUAGGUAGUUGGUGGGGUAAAGGCCUACCAAGCCGACGAUCCAUAGCUGGUCUGAGAGGAUGAUCAGCCACACUGGGACUGAGACACGGCCCAGACUCCUACGGGAGGCAGCAGUGGGGAAGAUUGGACAAUGGGCGCAAGCCUGAUCCAGCAAUGCCGCGUGAGUGAUGAGGGCCCUAGGGUUGUAAAGCUCUUUUACCCGGGAAGAUAAUGACUGUACCGGGAGAAUAAGCCCCGGCUAACUCCGUGCCAGCCGCCGCAGUAA
Molecule: ribosomal RNA, 451 nt
Filed under: uncultured bacterium
Lineage: Bacteria
Description: partial 16S ribosomal RNA
Rfam family: Bacterial small subunit ribosomal RNA
Source: RNAcentral